Long non-coding RNA from Gossypium raimondii (Peruvian cotton), 794 nucleotides. RefSeq lists it as uncharacterized. The record is from RefSeq and is a predicted model, not a curated record. The transcript has 2 exons. Lineage: Eukaryota; Viridiplantae; Streptophyta; Magnoliopsida; Malvales; Malvaceae.
UCUGCUAAACGGGUCGGGUAUUCGGGUCAUACGUGAAAUGAAGUCGUUUUGGUCAUUGUUGCCAAAACCCAAAACGACGUCGUUUUAUUCCCAAUAUAAAUGUUAAAAAAUAAAAUAAAAAACAAUUUAACCCUUAUUUUUUUUUUAAAAAAGAGAGAGAUCAAACAUUCUCUCACGCAGCCCUCAAAUCCGGCCAAUAGGGCCAUCGCUUGCGCCGCCGUGACCCCGCCGUAAGCGGUGGUCGGAGCAACAUGGAGGUCGCGUCUUUGGCCCACUUUUCAAACGCCCGAAGGCUUAGCCUUUUGGGCCUUAAGACCGAGGGAAGGAGAGGUCCCCAUGCCCCCCUUUUAGUCCGAUUUCGGCAACCGAAAUGGCUCCAGCGACAGACUCCACAGAUAACCCCAAGUGCUGACAGUGAAGCGUGGAGGUGACGUGCGGCAGAUGUGUGAGGUUGGCGAUUGGACGCGAUGAUGGUGGCGGUGGCAUGCGCGAGGGAGGCUGGCAGAACAUGCAGCGCCGGGGCAUUGGGCAGAGGCGUGCGGCGCGCCUUAGGGUUUGCUUCUCUGCUGAAUGUUUGUUGUGGGCUGCUGUUAAUUUGGGCUUAGGGUUAUUAAUUGGGCUUGGGUUGUUGUUUGGGCUGGUGUAACAAUUAGGUUAGUCUGUUCAAUUUGGUUUGUAACUGGGUUUGGGCUUGAUUUGGGCCCCGGGCAAAAAUGGGCUUAUACAGUGUUAAUUUUUAUUUUAAAUAUUAUUGGGCAUAAAUGAAAAAUAUAAACUUUCAAGAAUGUUUUAAA